Small nucleolar RNA from Loxodonta africana (African savanna elephant), 76 nucleotides. Ensembl annotates it as small nucleolar RNA SNORD45. The record is from Ensembl. Lineage: Eukaryota; Metazoa; Chordata; Mammalia; Proboscidea; Elephantidae.
GGUCGAUGGUGAGAUGACAUGUAUUCUGAACCUCAAGAUUAAUAUUAUUUUGGCUCUAGAAUUACUCUGAGAGAUG